RNAcentral lists this ribosomal RNA (429 nucleotides) under Clavulina nigricans. RNAcentral describes it as "eukaryotic LSU rRNA". It matches the Rfam family "Eukaryotic large subunit ribosomal RNA", at positions 312 to 755 of the family's 3401-position model. Lineage: Eukaryota; Fungi; Basidiomycota; Agaricomycetes; Cantharellales; Hydnaceae. The record is from RNAcentral.
AAAGCUAAAUAUUGGCGAGAGACCGAUAGCGAACAAGUACCGUGAGGGAAAGAUGAAAAGCACUUUGGAAAGAGAGUUAAACAGUACGUGAAAUUGUUAAAAGGGAAACGCUUGAAGUCAGUCAUGUCUGCUUGGACUCAACCUUACCUUUGGUUUGGUGUAUUUCCUUGCGGACGGGCCAGCGUCCAUGUGGUUUAUCGGAAAAGGGGUGAGAGAAUGUGGCUCCUUUGGGAGUGUUAUAGCUUUCACUCGUACGCGGGGAACGAUAUGGAGUGGUACAGCACGCUUCGGUGGUGUCUUGUGCUGGCAUAAUGGCUUUAAACGACCCGUCUUGAAACACGGACCAAGGAGUCUAACAUGUCUGCAAGUGUUUGGGUGGAAAACCCGAGCGCGUAAUGAAAGUGAUAGCUGGGAACCCCCUUUUGGGGA